Mytilus californianus (California mussel) is the source of this 2876-nucleotide long non-coding RNA. RefSeq lists it as uncharacterized. The transcript is spliced from 2 exons. The record is from RefSeq and is a predicted model, not a curated record. NCBI's taxonomy places the organism in Eukaryota, Metazoa, Mollusca, Bivalvia, Mytilida, Mytilidae.
ACCUCAGGGCACCACUGCCAACAUUUACAUAAACUUUCAAGAGGUUGCCUCUUAUAACGAAAGAUUAAGAAUUUUGAUUUUUUUUUUACAUUUUUGCAGUUUCCAUGGUAACAGCGGCCAUUUUGAACCAUUCCAAUGUCUAUUGCACAACUUCACAUGGCAGUUCAUAUUAUGGUAUAGUUCCAUCAACAUGGGUCUGACCAAUCCCGAGAAAUAGCAUGGACAAAAUGUGUGGAAGAAUAAAAAUGGUAACGGCGGCAAUUUUAAAAAUUCCAAAGUCGAAUUACAGCUACAUAUGGUGCUACCUGUAAUAAUCUAUCAUUAUAUAACAUAAAAGUACAUAGGAAUAAUUCAACACUAUCACAUGACUAAUCACAUGACUAUUGUUCUAGAAUGUUCCAUGAAAAUUGACCCCCUAAAAUAAUGCCAAGAUGACCCUGGGCUGAAAUAAAAAAUGUGGAAUGGACACCUGGACAUCGGUCUCUUGUAUUACACAAAACUUAAAGGUUCUACCAGUAGCGAAUCAAUAGUCGAAAAAUGACCCCACCCAUGUUCCGGCCCCCAAAUAGUGCCAAGUUGACCCCUAUUUGAAAUAAAAAAUAGUGAAUGCACCCCUAGGGAUACCACCCCAACAUCAUACCAAAUGUAAAGUUUCCAUCAUUUAAGGCUUGGAAGAAAAUAGUCGGACAAAUUAGGGUUAAGAAGAAUAAUAAUAAUAACUAGAUUUGUAAUUGCUAGCAAUAACGGAUUGCACCCUUUCCCCCAUUGCCAGGGUAACGGCAGCCAUUUUGAAAAUUCCAAAGUCAAAGAGUGCAUCUACAGAUGCUGAUUUACAUUUUUGUAAAGUUUCAAUAAGUUUGGAGCAUUUUGAAAUUAUUGACAUUUUUGCAGUUUCUAUGGUAACGGCGGCCAUUUUGAAAAUUCCUAAGUCAAACUGCAAAUCAGCACAUGCCAGUUACCAUUUCUGUGAAGUUUCUUUCCAUUUGGGGCACUUUGAUUUUUUUCGCAUUUUUUGCUGUUUCCAUGGAAACGGCGGCCAUCUUGAACCAUUCCAUACCAAGGUGCACAACUUUACAUGGGGGUCCUCAUUAUAGUAGAGUUCCAUCAACAUUGGUCCAUUGGAUUCCAAGAACUCGCGCGGACAAAAUGUGUGGAAGAAAAAUAAGAAAAAAAAGAAACGUAGAAUAACAGUAUGUCACCCCAACUCCGUUGAGGGUGCCAUAACUAGAAUUGCCAUUGCAAGCAAUAGCGGAUGUCACCCUGGUACGCCAAUUGCCACUAAGUGGCAGCCAUUCCGAAAUUUCUUAACAUUUGAUUAACAAGUUCACUUCACAAUUCAUCAUUCUGCUAAUUUUCAGAAAGUUUAAAGCAUUUUGAUUUUUUUAUGUUUGAACUGUUUCUAUGGCAACGGCCGCCAUUUUGAUAAUUCCAAAGAUGGUUGGCAAGUCUUUGCAUGCCAAGUAACAUUUCCACAAAGUUUUCUUCAUUUCGGAUAUAACAUUCAAUGUCUGUAUAAUUAAUCUAAGACUAAUGUUCUGGAAUGUUCUAUAAAAAUUCACCCCCUUAAAUUAUGCCAAGGAGACCCCCUAGCUGAAAUAAAAAUGUUCCAUGUUGAAGUGUACAUGAGUCUCUUUAUAUCAUAGGAGUUUCAUAUAAUUUAGAACACAUUUCUAUUUUUCACAUUUUUGCUGUUUCCAUGGCAAUGGCAGCCAUUUUUUUAAUUCCAAAGUCAGGUGCACAACUACACAUGAGGAUUAACAUUAUGCUAAAGUUCCAUCAACAUUGGUCCAUUCAAUUCCGAAAACUAAGCUGGACAAAAAAUGUGGAAUAAGAAUAAUAAAUUAGAUUUGCCAUUGCAAGCAAUAGCGGAUGUCACCCUUCCCCCAUUGUCACUAGAUUGCAGCCAGUUUUUAAAUUUUAAACAGUGAAUGCACAUAUAUAUUGAUGGCUAUACAUCUUUCUGUAAUUUUUUAGAACAUUUAGCGGAUUUACAAAUUUAACGCAUAAUUUUUCCUUUUUUGCCUUGUUUCCAUGGUAACGGCAGCCAUUUUGGAAAUUCCAACGCCAAUUGCUGCUUCCACACAUGACAGUCAACAUUAUUGUGAAGUUUCAUUAAGUUUGAAGCAUUCUGAAAUUUUUGAAAUUUUUGCUCCUGUAUCCAUGGUAACAUAGUAGUUCCAAUGAUUGUCAAAAUCAUUAAAAACCUGUAUAUAAUGGACAACUAUAUUGUAUAAAAAUUUGAUGAUUUUAAGUUAAAGCGUACCAAAAUUAUUCACCAAACCCUGAAGUUUUUGGAGCAUUUUGACCUUUUUGCAUUGUUUCCAUGGUAACGGCAGACAUUUUGGAAAUUCCAACGCCAAAUUCCACAUCUACCAAUGUUGCUCAUUGUUACUGUGAAGUUUCAAAAAUUUUUGAGCAUUUUGAUAUUUUUGAAAUUUUUGUUUUUUAGUUUCCAUGGCAACAUAGUAGUUCCAAUGAUGGCCAAAAUCAUCCAAAAACCAGUAUAUAGUGGGCACCUACAUGGUAUUAAAAUAUAAUGAUUCUAAGUUUAAGCAUCUCCAAAUAAUUCACCAAAACCAAAAACUGGAUUUUUUCACAUUUGUUCCGUUUCCAUGGUAACGGCAGCCAUUUUUAAUGUUCUUAAGACCUACUGCAACCCGAAAUUUUGUGUUCCUCAUUAUAGUUAACUAUUAUUAAGAUUGGUUCCAUUGGCUCCAAAAACACUGCAGGACAAAAUUAGGUGGAAGAAUAAUAAUAAUUAUAAUAAAAAAAAGAAACGGAGGAAAAGCAAUAUGUCACCCGACAUUGUCGAUCGGGUGACAAAAAAAGAAUCGAACAAUAACAAUAUGUCACCCGACCUCCAUCAGGGUGACAUA